This 62-nucleotide transfer RNA is filed under the name Tenebrionoidea sp. 15 KM-2017. RNAcentral describes it as "tRNA-Tyr". It matches the Rfam family "tRNA". From Rfam's summary of the family: Transfer RNA (tRNA) molecules are approximately 80 nucleotides in length. Their secondary structure includes four short double-helical elements and three loops (D, anti-codon, and T loops). Lineage: Eukaryota; Metazoa; Arthropoda; Insecta; Coleoptera. The record is from RNAcentral.
GGCCGAAUGGCUGAGGUUAAAAGCGGUAAACUGUAAAUUUAUUUACGAAUUUUCUUCGACCA